Molecule: ribosomal RNA, 429 nt
Filed under: Bacteroidota bacterium
Lineage: Bacteria; Pseudomonadati; Bacteroidota
Description: Bacteroidetes bacterium partial 16S ribosomal RNA
Rfam family: Bacterial small subunit ribosomal RNA
Source: RNAcentral
UAGGGAAUAUUCGGCAAUGGGGGGAACCCUGACCGAGCAACGCCGCGUGAGUGAAGAAGGUUUUCGGAUCGUAAAGCUCUGUUGUUAAGGAAGAACGAGUGUGAGAAUGGAAAGUUCAUACUGUGACGGUACUUAACCAGAAAGGGACGGCUAACUACGUGCCAGCAGCCGCGGUAAUACGUAGGUCCCGAGCGUUGUCCGGAUUUAUUGGGCGUAAAGCGAGCGCAGGCGGUUAGAUAAGUCUGAAGUUAAAGGCAGUGGCUCAACCAUUGUAGGCUUUGGAAACUGUUUAACUUGAGUGCAGAAGGGGGGAGUGGAAUUCCAUGUGUAGCGGUGAAAUGCGUAGAUAUAUGGAGGAACACCGGUGGCGAAAGCGGAUCUAUGGUCUGUAACUGAAACUGAGGCUCGAAAGCGUGGGGGGCGAACAGG